AAACAGAAUAAGUUAGAAUUUUUAGGUUAAAGUUGGAAUCUUUUAAUACCAAGGAGAAUGUCUAGGAGCAAAAGCAAACCCCUUAUAAAAACUUGCGUUGUGACGCUCAAUCAUAAGGAUUGAAUAAGAUUGCAUUUUUAAGCAGUUUAUUUUAUAAACACCCCACAUUCAUUACUAACUUUUAAUUGGAAAUUAAUGUGGGUCGUUUGGCGUGAUGUCUGGGGGGCAAGUCUUGUAGCGAGCCACAACCCUUGUUAUCGUUACCACUAUGUAAUGAUAGGGAUUUGUAUAAGAUUUUGGCUAUAAAGCAGGAGGGUAAGGCUUGUGUUUAAGUUAUUGCUCUUAUGUCCUACGCACGUGUUUACAAUGUCCUGUACAAAUCGAAGAGAAACAGUGAUUUGAAGCAAAAGCUUAAAGCGGGUUUCAGCAUGGACUGCAUUUUGAAACUCGACUUCAUGAAGUUGUAAUCGCUAGUAAUCGUAUAUUGGAAUGAUACGAUGAGUACGUUCUCAGGCACUUGUACACCGCUUGCCCGUUACAUCGUCUGAGUAUGGGGAUGGUCCUCCCUUCCGAAGUAUUAUCCUAACCCGUAAGGGAGAAGGUAUUUAAGGUUUGUU
Molecule: unclassified non-coding RNA, 617 nt
Filed under: Borreliella bissettiae
Lineage: Bacteria; Pseudomonadati; Spirochaetota; Spirochaetia; Spirochaetales; Borreliaceae
Description: partial 16S-23S ribosomal RNA intergenic spacer
Rfam family: Bacterial small subunit ribosomal RNA
Source: RNAcentral